AUUGAACGCUGGCGGCAUGCCUUACACAUGCAAGUCGAACGGCAGCACGGGAGCAAUCCUGGUGGCGAGUGGCGAACGGGUGAGUAAAGUAUCGGAACGUGCCCAGUCGUGGGGGAUAACGUAGCGAAAGUUACGCUAAUACCGCAUACGAUCUAUGGAUGAAAGCGGGGGAUCGCAAGACCUCGCGCGAUUGGAGCGGCCGAUAUCAGAUUAGGUAGUUGGUGGGGUAAAGGCUCACCAAGCCGACGAUCUGUAGCUGGUCUGAGAGGACGACCAGCCACACUGGAACUGAGACACGGUCCAGACUCCUACGGGAGGCAGCAGUGGGGAAUUUUGGACAAUGGGCGCAAGCCUGAUCCAGCCAUUCCGCGUGCAGGACGAAGGCCUUCGGGUUGUAAACUGCCUUUGUACGGAACGAAAAGGCUCUGGUUAAUACCUGGGGCUCAUGACGGUACCGUAAGAAUAAGCACCGGCUAACUACGUGCCAGCAGCCGCGGUAA
This 500-nucleotide ribosomal RNA is filed under the name uncultured bacterium. RNAcentral describes it as "partial 16S ribosomal RNA". It matches the Rfam family "Bacterial small subunit ribosomal RNA", at positions 30 to 523 of the family's 1533-position model. The record is from RNAcentral.